RNAcentral lists this ribosomal RNA (468 nucleotides) under uncultured bacterium. RNAcentral describes it as "partial 16S ribosomal RNA". It matches the Rfam family "Bacterial small subunit ribosomal RNA", at positions 28 to 507 of the family's 1533-position model. The record is from RNAcentral.
GACGAACGCUGGCGGCGUGCUUAACACAUGCAAGUCGAACGGAAAGGCCCUGCUUUUGGGGGGUGCUCGAGUGGCGAACGGGUGAGUAACACGUGAGUAACCUGCCCUUGACUUUGGGAUAACUUCAGGAAACUGGGGCUAUUACCGGCAAGGAGCUCCUGCUGCUUGGUGGGGGUUGGAAAGAUUCGGCGGUUGGGGUUGGACUCGCGGCGUAUGGGCUUGUUGCUGGGGUAGUGUAUGACCAAGGCUUGGACCGGUGGCAGGCCUGCGCGGGUGACAGGCCACAUCGGGACUGGGAUACGGCCCAGACCCCUACGGGACGCAGCAGUGGGGAAGAGUGCAUAAUGGGAGGAAGCCUGAUGCAGCAACGCCGCGUGCGGGGUGACGUGAUUCGGGUUGUAUUGCGAUUCCGCCUGUGACGAAGCGAUAGUGACGGUAACGGGUAAAGAAGCACCGGCUAACUACGUG